UAAGACGAACCGUCCAAACGUUAUUCGGAAUUACUGGGCUUAAAGGGUGCGUAGGCGGUGCUACAAGUCGGGUGUGAAAUCCCUCAGCUUAACUGAGGAACUGCGCCCGAAACUGUAGUGCUGGAGUGAGGCAGGGGUGAGCGGAACUGAUGGUGGAGCGGUGAAAUGUGUUGAUAUCAUCAGGAACACCGGUGGCGAAGGCGGCUCACUGGGCCUUUACUGACGCUGAGGCACGAAAGCUAGGGGAGCAAACGGGAUUAGAUACCCCGGUAGUCCUAGCUGUAAACGAUGAGCACUUGAUCGGAGACUCCUCCAUAGGUUUCCGGUCGUAGCGAAAGUGUUAAGUGCUCCGCCUGGGGAGUAUGGUCGCAAGGCUG
This 377-nucleotide ribosomal RNA is filed under the name uncultured bacterium. RNAcentral's name for it is "bacterial SSU rRNA". It matches the Rfam family "Bacterial small subunit ribosomal RNA", at positions 521 to 896 of the family's 1533-position model. The record is from RNAcentral.